GUUUGAUCCUGGCUCAGGAUGAACGCUAAUAGUAUGCUUUACACAUGCGAGUCGAACGAAAAUUAGUAAAAUAAUUUUAGUGGCGAACGGGUGAGGAAAACGUAAAAUAUUACCUUUUAGAUUAGAUAAGCGUAAAAAUUACUUAAAACUUAUAGUUUUGAGUAAAUAAUAGCCAAUUCUUUAUAAUUAUAAAAAGACAGUUUAAUUAUUGUCUGCUGAAAGAUGUCUUUGCGUAAGAUUAGGUUGUUGGUAGUGUUCUUAGCCUACCAAGCCGACGAUCUUUAGUUGGUCUUAGAGGACGAUCAACCACACUGGAACUGAGACAAGGUCCAGGCUAAUAAUUUUGGCCAGCAGUGAGGAAUAUUGGACAAUGAACGAAAGUUUGAUCCAGCAAUACUAUGUGAAUGAAUGACGGCUAAUUUUGGUUGUAAAGUUCUUUCAAUAAAAAAUGAUAAUGACAUUAUUUAUUCGAAUUUUAGUCCCGGCUAAUCUCGUGCCAGCAGCCGCGGUAAAACGGGAGGGGCAAGCGUUAUCCGGAAUUACUGGGCGUAAAGGGUCCGUAGACUGUAUUAUAAGUUAUUUGUUAAAAAUUAAAGCUCAACUUUAAUAAAGCAUUUAAAACUGUUAUACUAGAGUUUUAAUCAGAAGAGUAGAAUUUCAUGUUGAGGAGUGGCAUCUAAAGAUUCAUGAAGGAAUACCGUUAGCGAAGGCGACUCUUUAGUAAAAACUGACGUUGAGGGACGAAAGUAUAGGUAGCAAACAGGAUUAGAUACCCUGGUAGUCUAUACUG
RNAcentral lists this ribosomal RNA (790 nucleotides) under Dactyliosolen fragilissimus. RNAcentral's name for it is "partial Bacterial small subunit ribosomal RNA". It matches the Rfam family "Bacterial small subunit ribosomal RNA", at positions 11 to 802 of the family's 1533-position model. The record is from RNAcentral. Lineage: Eukaryota; Bacillariophyta; Coscinodiscophyceae; Rhizosoleniales; Rhizosoleniaceae.